RNAcentral lists this ribosomal RNA (252 nucleotides) under uncultured fungus. RNAcentral's name for it is "partial large subunit ribosomal RNA". The record is from RNAcentral. Lineage: Eukaryota; Fungi.
AUGAUGUUGACGUAAUUAACAUCAAUUUUGGUGGUCAUAAAAUGGCGGGAGGAAUGUAGCUUCGAUCUUGUAUUGAAGUGUUAUAGCCUUCGGUAGAUGUGACGAUCGGGAUUGAGGAUUGCAACGGAUACCCUUCGGGGCUACCUGUCUGAUCUCUGAUUGUUGCUCUGGUACCGAAAGCUUGCUUACGGUUAUCAAAGUCGAUGGUCAAUAGGUUAGAACGGGUUAAAUUCGUUAAGGAUGUUGACGUAA